GGGGAAUUUUCCGCAAUGGGCGAAAGCCUGACGGAGCAAUACCGCGUGAGGGAUGACGGCCUAUGGGUUGUAAACCUCUUUUUUCAGGGAGGAAACAAAUGACGUGUACCCUGAAGAAUAAGCAUCGGCUAACUCCGUGCCAGCAGCCGCGGUAAGANCGGAGGAUGCAAGUGUUAUCCGGAAUCACUGGGCGUAAAGCGUCUGUAGGUGGUUUAAUAAGUCAACUGUUAAAUCUUGAAGCUCAACUUCAAAAUCGCAGUCGAAACUAUUAGACUAGAGUAUAGUAGGGGUAAAGGGAAUUUCCAGUGGAGCGGUGAAAUGCGUAGAGAUUGGAAAGAACACCGAUGGCGAAGGCACUUUACUGGGCUAUUACUAACACUCAGAGACGAAAGCUAGGGUAGCAAAUGGGAUUAGAUACCCCAGUAGUC
This 428-nucleotide ribosomal RNA is filed under the name uncultured cyanobacterium. RNAcentral describes it as "bacterial SSU rRNA". It matches the Rfam family "Bacterial small subunit ribosomal RNA", at positions 356 to 795 of the family's 1533-position model. The record is from RNAcentral. Lineage: Bacteria; Bacillati; Cyanobacteriota.